RNAcentral lists this ribosomal RNA (238 nucleotides) under Hemiselmis andersenii. RNAcentral's name for it is "partial Eukaryotic large subunit ribosomal RNA". It matches the Rfam family "Eukaryotic large subunit ribosomal RNA", at positions 1686 to 1923 of the family's 3401-position model. Lineage: Eukaryota; Cryptophyceae; Cryptomonadales; Hemiselmidaceae. The record is from RNAcentral.
AGAGUUCUCUUUUCUAUUUAACAGUUCCGACAGCCGUGGAAACGAGUUAUUCGGAGAAGCGGGGGCGCGACUGGCAGAACAGUGCCUUCGUGCAUUGUCCGGUGUGCUUUUGUCGAUCCUUGAAAAACCGAGGGAAAAUAAAACUCUCGUCCUUGAUCGUACCCAAAACCGCAUCAGGUCUCCAAGGUGAUUAGCCUCUGGUCGAUAGAAUAAUGCAGGUAAGGGAAGUCGGCAAGAU